UACGUAGGGUGCGAGCGUUGUCCGGAAUUAUUGGGCGUAAAGAGCUCGUAGGCGGUUUGUCGCGUCUGCUGUGAAAACCGGAGGCUCAACCUCCGGCCUGCAGUGGGUACGGGCAAACUAGAGUGCGGUAGGGGAGAUUGGAAUUCCUGGUGUAGCGGUGGGAUGCGCAGAUAUCAGGAGGAACACCGAUGGCGAAGGCAGAUCUCUGGGCCGUAACUGACGCUGAGGAGCGAAAGCGUGGGGAGCGAACAGG
This 253-nucleotide ribosomal RNA is filed under the name uncultured bacterium. RNAcentral's name for it is "partial 16S ribosomal RNA". It matches the Rfam family "Bacterial small subunit ribosomal RNA", at positions 524 to 776 of the family's 1533-position model. The record is from RNAcentral.